This 460-nucleotide ribosomal RNA is filed under the name uncultured bacterium. Its description in RNAcentral is "partial 16S ribosomal RNA". It matches the Rfam family "Bacterial small subunit ribosomal RNA", at positions 338 to 795 of the family's 1533-position model. The record is from RNAcentral.
CCUACGGGCGGCUGCAGUGAGGAAUAUUGGUCAAUGGGCGGAAGCCUGAACCAGCCAAGUAGCGUGCAGGAUGACGGCCCUACGGGUUGUAAACUGCUUUUAUACGGGAAUAACGCGCCUUACGUGUAGGGCUUUGCAUGUACCGUAUGAAUAAGGACCGGCUAACUCCGUGCCAGCAGCCGCGGUAAUACGGAGGGUCCGGGCGUUAUCCGGAUUUAUUGGGUUUAAAGGGAGCGUAGGCCGCAUGUCAAGCGUGCUGUGAAAUGUCGGGGCACAACCCGGGCCUUGCAGCGCGAACUGGCGGGCUUGAGUACAGGGAAGGCAGGCGGAAUGCGUGGUGUAGCGGUGAAAUGCUUAGAUAUGACGAAGAACCCCGAUUGCGAAGGCAGCUUGCUGCAGCGGAACUGACGCUGAUGCUCGAAAGCGCGGGUAUCGAACAGGAUUAGAUACCCUAGUAGUC